UGAACGCUGGCGGCAUGCUUUACACAUGCAAGUCGAACGGCAGCGCGGGCUUCGGCCUGGCGGCGAGUGGCGAACGGGUGAGUAAUGCAUCGGAACGUGCCCAGUAGUGGGGGAUAGCCCGGCGAAAGCCGGAUUAAUACCGCAUACGACCUGAGGGUGAAAGCGGGGGACCGAAAGGCCUCGCGCUAUUGGAGCGGCCGAUGUCGGAUUAGCUAGUUGGUGGGGUAAAGGCUUACCAAGGCGACGAUCCGUAGCUGGUCUGAGAGGACGACCAGCCACACUGGGACUGAGACACGGCCCAGACUCCUACGGGAGGCAGCAGUGGGGAAUUUUGGACAAUGGGGGCAACCCUGAUCCAGCCAUGCCGCGUGCGGGAAGAAGGCCUUCGGGUUGUAAACCGCUUUUGUUCGGGAAGAAAUCCUCUGGGCUAAUACCCCGGGGGGAUGACGGUACCGGAAGAAUAAGCACCGGCUAACUACGCG
Molecule: ribosomal RNA, 482 nt
Filed under: uncultured bacterium
Lineage: Bacteria
Description: partial 16S ribosomal RNA
Rfam family: Bacterial small subunit ribosomal RNA
Source: RNAcentral